Molecule: long non-coding RNA, 5401 nt
Organism: Oncorhynchus nerka (sockeye salmon)
Lineage: Eukaryota; Metazoa; Chordata; Actinopteri; Salmoniformes; Salmonidae
Exons: 3
Source: RefSeq, a predicted model, not a curated record
AAUCCCGAACCCGCUGAGGGUGGGGUCCUUACUAUACGGAAUCAUUGGGACGUCCCUGUCCCAUAGGUAAUUGAUUUUUAAAGGGGUUAGGGUAGAUUAAGGUUAAAGGUGGGGUCGUCCCAAGGAUCCCAGAUAGCACUAACCACGUGUAUGCUGUGUUUUGCGGGUGGUUUUGGAAGAGAGCUAGCUACACUUGAAUAACUGUAAUUUCAAGUGCAUCAACUACCUUAAUGCUUAGUUUACCUUUGCCAUAACGAUAGUCCAACAAUAAAUGUGAAUUAUUCAGAAGAUACUUCGGUCACUUCAUUACUAUUCAGUUGACGUUUGCAUAGGCUGCUACUUUUGACUACAGUGAAUGGCAAAUAGCCCUCUGGUAUUGACAAGGUACACGUCAAGUCGACAAAUGGGUGAAUGGUUAUCAUAAUGCUGUACAUUUUAGAAUUUGAACGGUUUAAAUGCUACAAUCAGUGCACGCCACCGCAACAAACGCUCUAAGGUCAAACUGAUUACGAAUGUUUAGCCCUGCUUCUCAGAAAACAAGGAGUUUCAAGUUGUAAUGUCACGUGCACAAUUGUCUUUCUUGCAAGCGCUAAAUCCAACAAUGAAAUAAUCAAUCAUGUAAUACUAAAAAUAACAAGGUCGAAAUAAGAAGAACACGAGAAAGUAAGUAAGCUGUAUACAGGGUCAGUGCCAAUACCAUAUUUACAAUGUGCAGGGAUACUGGAGUGAUAGAAGUAGAUAUGUAAGGGGGUAAGGUGACUAGGCAUCAGGAUUUAUAAUACAUAGUAGCAGCAGAGUAUAUGAUGAUUGUAUGUGAGUGGGUGUGCGUGUAGUCAGAAUAAAUGUAAAUGCAUAUUAUAUGUGUGAGUGUUUGUAGGGCCCUGUGAAUGUGCAUAGAGACAGUGUAAAAAAUAAAUACACGGGUCAAAUCAGAUAGUGUGUAGCCAUUUUGUCAUCGAUUUAGUUAGCUAUUUAGCAAGUCUUAUGGCUUGGGGAUAGAAGCUGUUCGGGAGCCUGUUGAUGUCAGAUUUGAUGCACUGGUACCACUUGCCGUGCACAAGCAGAGAGAACAGUCUAUGGAUCGAGUAAACUAAGAUCUUUACUUCAAUAGUGAUACAAUAUGCCUGGAGAAAUACCCUACUAAACUAAGCCAUGCGUUUUGAUGUGUUUCUCAUUAGAUGGUGUCUUCUGUAUUGAAUUGUAUUCUAUGGUAUAUUGUCUUAUUUCAUGCUUAUAGAUCUUUUUUUCCCCUCAGUGGUGAAACAGAAUGGAAUAGAAAAUACCUUCUACAAGGUGUAAUUUACUAUAAAAGUACAUCUGGUGCUACUGUUUUCAUACCGUUUUGGAUACAUUAGAGAGCCUUGGAUGAAAUGUGUCAAACAGCACAAGGUAGACAUUUAGGAACAGAUAAUCCCAAUAGAUUUCCUAGAUGUCAUGUUUCAGUGGCAUAUCACUAACACUGUGAGGUUUGCAGUGUCACUCCAAUCCUGGGAAUUUCCCAAUCCCCCCGGCCAGGUGAUAGACGUGUCUUUCAGACUAGGGAUGCAGCAGGCAGACGCUACAGGAAAGUACCUCAAAGAAGUUGAGUUCACCAACAUGUUUGCCAGUAUUAUGGCCCGUGCCCGCCAGACUUGCAAAGCGAUUUUGAAGCACAACAGUUGUUGCUCUGGCCUAGAAAUUGUGACGCAUCACUUAAAGAGAGGUGUGUGUGGGGGGGCUGGUGGUGGACAUGAAGUACAUGGAUACAGCAGCUGGUCUAUUAUGGCUGAACUUCCGUCCUCCAGGGAGAGAGACUAUAGAACAUGUAAGUCAUUCUGGGGGAUCCUAAGGGAGCAUGUCUGUCUGCCUCUUUCUCCCUCUCUAUAUAUUCCUCCUGAUUGGAGACCAGAUGCAAUACAUUUUAUCAACACUAGAUGGCACCUUUGGCAUGCAUUACAGGGUAAUCCAUUCUUGACUAUGAAUAUGCCAAAUAAAUGUUUUGCAAAACAGGUGCCUUCAUCAAAUUCAUUUGCUAGUUUACGAGACACGUUGUCCAGAUGAUGAUGCAGAUCUGCCAUGGUAUGUGACCUCAGUAUCUCUCUAACCACCCAGGACAUGCUGUAGGCCCCUCAAUCAGGAUGGAACCGGUGUCAACCAGUCUGUUGUAUGGGUGUAGGAGAAGAACGGGAAGGACGAGUCAAUGUUGUGAAUAAGAGUGCUUUGUUCUGUGUUAGAUAAAGACACGGAUCAAAGAGUUUCUGGAGCACCUGUUCCAGCGCAUGGUGGCUGACCACUGCGGACCAGGACAGAAGGAGACAGGGAUUCCUCAGACAGAGGGGGCUCUCGCAGGCAAGCCGGACGAUGGGAUCAGAGACAUCCCUGCCAUGCGCUGGUGGUCAGCCAUGGGGCCCUCAUACAGUUGAAGUCGGAAGUUUACAUACACCUUAGCCAAAUACAUUUAAACUCAGUUGUUUCACAAUUCCUGAAAACGCUUUGUUUUAGGUCUGUUAGGAUCACCACUUUAUUUUAAGAAUGGGAAAUGUCAGAAUAAUACUACAGAGAAUUAUUUAUUUCAGCUUUUAUUUCUUUCAUCACAUUCCCAUUGGGUCAGACGUUUACACUCAAUUAAGUUUUUGGUAGCAUUGCCUUUAAAUUGUUUAAUUUUGGUAAAAUGUUUCAGGUAGCCUUCCACAAGCUUCCCACAAUAAGUUGGGUGAAUUUUGUCCCAUUCUUCCUGACAGAGCUGGUGUAACUGAGUCAGGUUUGUAGGCCUCCUUGCUCGCACACGCUUUUUAAGUUCUGCCCACAAAUUGUCUAUUGGAUUGAGGUCAGGGCUUUGUGAUGGCCACUCCAAUACCUUGACUUUGUUGUCCUUAAGCCAUUUUGCCACAACUUUGGAAGUAUGCUUGGGGUCAUUGUCCAUUUGGAAGACCCAUUUGCGACCAAGCUUUAACUUCCUGACUGAUGUCUUGAGAUGUUGCUUCAAUAUAUCCACAGAAUUUUCCCCUCUCAUGAUGCCAUCUAUUUUGUGAAGUGCACCAGUCCCUCCUGCAGCAAAGCACCCCCACAACAUGAUGGUGUUCUUCGGCUUGCAAGCCUCCUGAUUUUUCCUCCAAACAUAACGAUGGUCAUUAUGGCCAAACAGUUCAAUUUUUGUUUCAUCAGACCAGAGGACAUUUCUCCAAAAAAGUACAAUCUUUGUCCCCAUGUGCAAUUUCAAACUGUAGUCUGGCUUUUUUUAAUGGCAGUUUUGGAGCAGUGGCUUCUUCCUUGCUGAGCGGCCUUUCAGGUUAUGUCCAUAUAGGACUCAUUUUACUGUGGAUAUAGAUACUUUUGUACAUGUGUCCUCCAGCAUCUUCACAAGAUCCUUUGCUGUUCUGGGAUUGAUUUGCACUUUUCGCACCAAAGUACGUUAAUCUCUAGGAGACAGAACACGUCUCUUUCCUGAGCUGUAUGACGGCUGCGUGGUCCCAUGGUGUUUAUACUUGCGUACUAUUGUUUGUACAGAUGAACCGUGGUACCUUCAGGCGUUUGGAAAUUGCUCCCAAGGAUGAACCAGACUUGUGGAGGUCUACAAUUUUUUUCUGAGGUCUUGGCUGAUUUCUUUUGAUUUCCCCAUGAUGUCAAGCAAAGAGGCACUGAGUUUGAAGGUAGGCCAUGAAAUACAUCCACAGGUACACCUCCGAUUGACUCAACUGAUGUCAAUUACAAUAUCAGAAGCUUCUAAGCCAUGACAUAAUUUUCUGGAAUUUUCCAAGCAGGUUAAAGGUGAAUUCUAAGUGAAAUAAUCUGUUUGUAAACAAUUGUUGGAAAAAUGACUUGUGUCAUGCACAAAGUAGAUGUCCUAACCCACUUGCCAAAACUAUAGUUUGUUAACAAGAAAUUUGUGGAGUGGUUGAAAAACGAGUUUAAAUGACUCCAACCUAAGUGUAUGUAAACUUCCGACUUCAACUGUAUAUGGGGUAGAGUGGAAGGGGUUGAAGGGAGGAACACAUCUCCUGGUUUGUUCACACUAGGGCCGACUAGAACCGUAUUGUGCUCUUUAGGAAAUGUUCUUUUCACAUUGUCCUUUCCAGCAUGUCUUCUUCAGCAACUAUGGUGGAUGCGUAACCAAGCCAGCCCAGUGGAGCUUGGCUUCACUCGGCUUGGCGCCAAAGUGUGGAUCAGGCUAUUAAGUGCUAACUAAGAUAUACACAGAGACACCACACAGACAUCUGGUUUAAAGUUAUUUAAAACGUUUAAAGUAAUAUGUAUUUGUUUUGUCUCAUACUUUGUCAAUGUACAUUAUUUAAAACAAUCAAGGUUGAGUAAAUAAACAGUCAUAUUUUGAAGCUUUCCCAUCUCAUCACUGCUCAAACCUGUCCUUAAAAUUCAAAUUUCAGAUUCUUUGACACCAUCUAAAUUCAGCCGUUCAUAACUUGAGUUGAAUACCUUAUUUUAACCUCAGUUCCCAUUUCUGUGUUGCAAUGUACUGACAUCACAGCGUUCCUCUCAGGCUGCUGAUAAUCAUUGAUUCACUGUUAACCGGUGCGGCUCUUUGCUCUUAUCACUCUCUGCUUCUAUAUACACGGAGUGUACAAAACAUUAACAUGGGCUUUCCAUGACUUAGACUGACCAGGUGAAUCCAGGUGAAAGCUGGGAUCCCUUAUUGAUGUCACUGGUUAAAUCCACUUUAAUCAGUGUAGAUGAAGGGAAGGAGACAGGUUAAAGAAGGAUUUUUAAGCCUUGAGAAAAUGUAGACAUGGAUUGUGUAUGUGUGGCAUUCAGAGGGUGAAUAUUUAUGUGCCUUUGAAUGGCGGAUGGUAGUAGGUGCCAGGCGGGCCUGUUUGAGUGUGUCAAGAACUGCAACGCUGUUGGGUUUUUCACGCUCAACAGUUUCCCGUGUGUAUCAAGAAUGGUCUACCUCCCAAAGGACAUCCAGCCAACUUGACACAAAUGUGGGACGCAUUGGAGUCAACAUUGGCCAGCAUCCCUGUGGAACGCUUUCGACACCUUGUAGAGUCCAUGGCCGACGAAUUGAGGCUAUUCUGAGAGCAAACGGGAGCGCAACGCAAUAUUAAGAAGGUGUUUCUAAUGCUUUGUACACUCAUUGUACACUGAACAAAAAUAUAAACGCAAAAUGUAUAGUUUUGGUCCCAUGUGUUGAAAUUAAAGAUACCAGAAAUGUUCCAUACGCAUAUGUAUUCUCUCAAAUGCACACAUUUGUUUACAUCCCAGUUAGUUAGCAUUUCAUCUUUGCCAAGAUAAUCCAUCCACCUGACAGGUGUGGCAUAUAAAGAAGCCGAUUAAACAUCAUGAUCAUUACACAGGUGCACCUUGUGCUGGGGACAAUAAAAGACCACUCUAAAAUGUGCAGUUUUGUCACACAACACAAUGCCACAGAUGUCACAAGUUUUGAGGGAGCAUGCAAUUGGCAUGCUGA